This 369-nucleotide ribosomal RNA is filed under the name uncultured organism. Its description in RNAcentral is "bacterial SSU rRNA". It matches the Rfam family "Bacterial small subunit ribosomal RNA", at positions 526 to 896 of the family's 1533-position model. The record is from RNAcentral.
CGUAGGGUGCGAGCGUUAAUCGGAAUUACUGGGCGUAAAGCGUGCGCAGGCGGUUAUAUAAGACAGAUGUGAAAUCCCGGGCUCAACCUGGGAACUGCAUUUGUGACUGUAUAGCUAGAGUACGGCAGAGGGGGAUGGAAUUCCGCGUGUAGCAGUGAAAUGCGUAGAUAUGCGGAGGAACACCGAUGGCGAAGGCAAUCCCCUGGGCCUGUACUGACGCUCAUGCACGAAAGCGUGGGGAGCAAACAGGAUUAGAUACCCUGGUAGUCCACGCCCUAAACGAUGUCAACUGGUUGUUGGGUCUUCACUGACUCAGUAACGAAGCUAACGCGUGAAGUUGACCGCCUGGGGAGUACGGCCGCAAGGUUG